GUGGCUAUCGUUCAAUGGUCAGGACUUUGGUUUGUGGAACCAAAAAUGAGAGUUCGAUUCUCUCUAGCCACC
RNAcentral lists this transfer RNA (72 nucleotides) under bacterium. Its description in RNAcentral is "tRNA-His". It matches the Rfam family "tRNA". Rfam says of the family: Transfer RNA (tRNA) molecules are approximately 80 nucleotides in length. Their secondary structure includes four short double-helical elements and three loops (D, anti-codon, and T loops). The record is from RNAcentral.